Molecule: long non-coding RNA, 283 nt
Organism: Aplysia californica (California sea hare)
Lineage: Eukaryota; Metazoa; Mollusca; Gastropoda; Aplysiida; Aplysiidae
Exons: 2
Source: RefSeq, a predicted model, not a curated record
UCAGCCCUAGGCACUCAUAUGAUCUUAUUAUGCAGUUGCGGGCGCCGUAAAACCUUACUAAAACUAAACUGAGUGAUUUUUGGCAUUACCAGUCUGUGAUUCUAUGGGUUUUUGUGUAACUUGUGGGAUGUGCAUGUGACGUCUCAGGGAAUAUUUCCAGUUCAUAGAAGGUCAGAAGAGUGCCAAAGGGUGGGAAAAGCAAGCCUCGUUCCUUCACGUUGUGGAUUCUUCAGGUUUUGGUAACAGAAUAAUUGAUCCGAAAAGGGAAUUGAUUAAAGUAAAG